GAGUUUGAUCCUGGCUCAGAUUGAACGCUAGCGGCAGGCUUAAUACAUGCAAGUCGAGGGGCAGCACGGUUAGCAAUAACUGGUGGCGACCGGCGCACGGGUGCGUAACACGUAUACAAUCUACCGUUAAACAGGGGGAUAGCCUUUCGAAAGAGAGAUUAAUACCCCGUAAUAAAUUGAACGGCAUCGUUUGAUUUGAAAGCUCCGGCGGUUUGAGAUGAGUAUGCGUCUGAUUAGCUAGUUGGUGAGGUAACGGCUCACCAAGGCGACGAUCAGUAGGGGACCCUGAGAGGACUAACCCCCCACACUGGUACUGAGACACGGACCAGACUCCUACGGGAGGCAGCAGUAAGGAAUAUUGGUCAAUGGAGGCAACUCUGAACCAGCCAUGCCGCGUGCAGGAUGACGGCCCUAUGGGUUGUAAACUGCUUUUAUACAAGAGAAAACCCUGGUACGUGUACCAAGUUGAUAGUAUUGUAAGAAUAAGCAUCGGCUAACUUCGUG
This 504-nucleotide ribosomal RNA is filed under the name uncultured bacterium. Its description in RNAcentral is "bacterial SSU rRNA". It matches the Rfam family "Bacterial small subunit ribosomal RNA", at positions 9 to 507 of the family's 1533-position model. The record is from RNAcentral.